AAAACAUAGCCUUUAGCAAAACAAGUAUUAAAGGUGACGCCUGCCCAGUGAACACUUUAACGGCCGCGGUACCCUAACCGUGCAAAGGUAGCGUAAUCACUUGUCCACUAAUUAUGGACCAGUAUGAAAGGCAACAUGAGGGCUUAACUGUCUCUUGAGACCAAUUUAUAAAACUGAUCUUCUAGUACAAAAGCUGGAAUUCCACCAUAAGACGAGAAGACCCUGUGAAGCUUCAAGAACCCUGCUAACCCACCUAGCAAAAACUUUUAGUUGGGGCAACUUUGGAAUACAACUAAACUUCCAAAAAACCUAUAAGACACACAAGUCAAACACGACCCAGUACAGCUGAUUAAUGAACCAAGUUACUCCAGGGAUAACAGCGCUAUCCUCUUUAAGAGCCCAUAUCAAAAAGAGGGUUUACGACCUCGAUGUUGGAUCAGGACACCCAAACGGCGCAGCCGCUGUUAAAGGUUCGUUUGUUCAACGAUAAAAAGUCCUACGUG
RNAcentral lists this ribosomal RNA (503 nucleotides) under Typhlopidae sp. RAP-2013. RNAcentral describes it as "partial 16S ribosomal RNA". It matches the Rfam family "Bacterial large subunit ribosomal RNA", at positions 1810 to 2602 of the family's 2925-position model. Lineage: Eukaryota; Metazoa; Chordata; Lepidosauria; Squamata; Typhlopidae. The record is from RNAcentral.